AUGGACGAAAGUCUGAUGGAGCAACGCCGCGUGAGUGAAGAAGGUUUUCGGAUCGUAAAACUCUGUUGUAAGGGAAGAACAAGUACGGUAGUAACUGGCCGUACCUUGACGGUACCUUAUUAGAAAGCCACGGCUAACUACGUGCCAGCAGCCGCGGUAAUACGUAGGUGGCAAGCGUUGUCCGGAAUUAUUGGGCGUAAAGCGCGCGCAGGCGGUCCUUUAAGUCUGAUGUGAAAGCCCACGGCUCAACCGUGGAAGGUCAUUGGAAACUGGGGGACUUGAGUGCAGAAGAGGUUAGUGGAAUUCCAAGUGUAGCGGUGAAAUGCGUAGAGAUUUGGAGGAACACCAGUGGCGAAGGCGACUAACUGGUCUGUAACUGACGCUGAGGCGCGAAAGCGUGGGGAGCAAACAGGAUUAGAUACCCUGGUAGUCCACGCCGUAAACGAUGAGUGCUAAGUGUUAGGGG
RNAcentral lists this ribosomal RNA (466 nucleotides) under bacterium T-2-0-5B. Its description in RNAcentral is "bacterial SSU rRNA". It matches the Rfam family "Bacterial small subunit ribosomal RNA", at positions 371 to 829 of the family's 1533-position model. The record is from RNAcentral.